This 340-nucleotide ribosomal RNA is filed under the name Acanthococcus antarcticus. RNAcentral's name for it is "partial large subunit ribosomal RNA". It matches the Rfam family "Bacterial large subunit ribosomal RNA", at positions 2098 to 2435 of the family's 2925-position model. Lineage: Eukaryota; Rhodophyta; Florideophyceae; Gigartinales; Cystocloniaceae. The record is from RNAcentral.
GCUUUACUGUAGCUUGGAAUUGAAUUUGGGCUUAUUUUGCGCAGUAUAGGUGGGAGGCUAAGAUAAUAUAUUUGCGGAUAUACAGAAGCCAAUAGUGAGAUACCACUCUAAAUAAGCUAAAAUUCUAACUCUGAAAGCCGUUAACCGGCCAGAGAACAGUUCCAGGUGGGCAGUUUGACUGGGGCGGUCGCCUCCUAAAAGGUAACGGAGGCGUACAAAGGUUUCCUCAGACUGGUCGGAAAUCAGUCUUAGAGUAUAAAGGCAUAAGGAAGCUUGACUGCAAGACCUACAAGUCGAGCAGAGACGAAAGUCGGUCUUAGUGAUCCGACAGUGCUGAGUG